UCAAAAUUAGAUCAGACCAGGUAUGGGAGC
Molecule: non-coding RNA, 30 nt
Filed under: Rattus norvegicus (Norway rat)
Lineage: Eukaryota; Metazoa; Chordata; Mammalia; Rodentia; Muridae
Source: RNAcentral